AGAGUUUGAUCCUGGCUCAGAGCGAACGCUGGCGGCAGGCUUAACACAUGCAAGUCGAACGGGCGUAGCAAUACGUCAGUGGCAGACGGGUGAGUAACACGUGGGAACGUACCUCUUGGAUCGAAACAACACAGGGAAACUUGUGCUAAUACCGGAUAAGCCCUUACAGGGAAAGAUUUAUCGCCAAGAGAUCGGCCCGCGUCUGAUUAGCUAGUUGGUAGGGUAAUGGCCUACCAAGGCGACUAUCAGUAGCUGGUCUGAGAGGAUGAUCAGCCACAUUGGGACUGAGACACGGGCCAAACUCCUACGGGAGGCAGCAGAGGGGAAUAUUGGACAAUGGGGGCAACCCUGAUCCAGACAUGCCGCGUGAGUGAUGAAGGCCCUAGGGUUGUAAAGCUCUUUUGUGCGGGAAGAUAAUGACGGUACCACAAGAAUAAGCCCCGGCUAACUUCAUGCCGGCAGCCGCGGCAAUACCAAUGGGGCUAACGUUGCUCGCAAUCACUGGGCGUAAAGGGUGCGUAGGCGGGUCUUUAAGUCACGCGUGAAAUCCUGAAGCUCAACUCCUCAACUGCCUAUGAUACU
Molecule: ribosomal RNA, 582 nt
Filed under: uncultured bacterium
Lineage: Bacteria
Description: bacterial SSU rRNA
Rfam family: Bacterial small subunit ribosomal RNA
Source: RNAcentral